AUGGCCGAAGUGGACAUUGUGGACGGCGAGACAGGCUCCAGCGUGCCCCGAGACGGCACCACGAUGGGCGAGAUCAUGCUCCGUGGUGAGUUCGUCAUGCUGGGGUACCUAAACAAUAGAGAGGCAACAUGGGCGGCGAUCCGGGACGAUGGGUGGUUCUACACGGGCGACGUUGGGGUGAUGCACCCGGACGGUAACUGGAGAUGCGUGACGGGUCCAAGGACGUGA
RNAcentral lists this ribosomal RNA (228 nucleotides) under Triticum aestivum (bread wheat). Its description in RNAcentral is "partial small subunit ribosomal RNA". Lineage: Eukaryota; Viridiplantae; Streptophyta; Magnoliopsida; Poales; Poaceae. The record is from RNAcentral.